GGCACCGGUCGUGACUGGCGCAGGUGGGUGCAACCACCGGGGAGCGGCCGCAGUGCCCCGCCACGCACCGCCCGCCUGGGUGCAUGGG
This is a regulatory RNA element of Cellulomonas sp. Leaf395, 88 nucleotides long. It matches the Rfam family "ZMP/ZTP riboswitch aptamer (pfl RNA motif)". From Rfam's summary of the family: Previously known as pfl RNA. ZMP is also known as AICAR. The record is from Rfam. NCBI's taxonomy places the organism in Bacteria, Bacillati, Actinomycetota, Actinomycetes, Micrococcales, Cellulomonadaceae.